UGUGUGGUUCAGUAUGUAUGUGUGUAUGUGUGUUUCAGUAUGGCUGUCUGUGAGUGUCAAAAUGUCUGUAUGUGUGUACGUCUGUCAGUGUCUUUGUGUAUGUGUGUUUCAGUAUGUCUGUCUGUGUGUAUGUGUGCAAUAAUGUCUGUAUGUUUGUCAGUGUGUCAGUAUGUCUAUGUGUGAGUCUGUCAGUGUCCAUGUGGUUCUGUAUGUCUGUGUGUAUGUGUGUUUCAGUAUAGCUGGCUGUCUGUGUGUGUCUCUGUGUCAGUACGUCUGUCAGAAUGUGCCUUUGUAUCUGUAUGUUGUCCGUUUGGGUUUGUAUCUAUAU
Pelobates cultripes (western spadefoot toad) is the source of this 328-nucleotide non-coding RNA. The record is from the annotation of a GenBank genome assembly. Lineage: Eukaryota; Metazoa; Chordata; Amphibia; Anura; Pelobatidae.